This 445-nucleotide ribosomal RNA is filed under the name uncultured bacterium. Its description in RNAcentral is "partial 16S ribosomal RNA". It matches the Rfam family "Bacterial small subunit ribosomal RNA", at positions 354 to 796 of the family's 1533-position model. The record is from RNAcentral.
GUGAGGAAUAUUGGUCAAUGGACGAGAGUCUGAACCAGCCAAGUAGCGUGAAGGAUGACUGCCCUAUGGGUUGUAAACUUCUUUUAUAAGGGAAUAAAGUGAGGGACGUGUCCCUUUUUGUAUGUACCUUAUGAAUAAGGAUCGGCUAACUCCGUGCCAGCAGCCGCGGUAAUAUGGAGGAUCCGAGCGUUAUCCGGAUUUAUUGGGUUUAAAGGGAGCGUAGGUUGACGUAUAAGUCAGCUGUGAAAGUUUACGGCUCAACCGUGAAAGUGCAGUUGAUACUGUAUGUCUGGAGUGUACAAGAGGUGGGCGGAAUUCGUGGUGUAGCGGUGAAAUGCUUAGAUAUCACGAAGAACUCCAAUUGCGAAGGCAGCUCACUGGGGUACAACUGACACUGAGGCUCGAAAGUGUGGGUAUCAAACAGGAUUAGAUACCCGGGUAGUCC